This 465-nucleotide ribosomal RNA is filed under the name uncultured bacterium. Its description in RNAcentral is "partial 16S ribosomal RNA". It matches the Rfam family "Bacterial small subunit ribosomal RNA", at positions 338 to 795 of the family's 1533-position model. The record is from RNAcentral.
CCUACGGGGGGCAGCAGUGGGGAAUAUUGCGCAAUGGGCGAAAGCCUGACGCAGCGACGCCGCGUGAGGGAUGAAGGUCUUCGGAUUGUAAACCUCUGUCAGCAGGGAAGAACGGUCACGGUGCUAAUCAGCUGUGACUUGACGGUACCUGCAAAGGAAGCACCGGCUAACUCCGUGCCAGCAGCCGCGGUAAUACGGAGGGUGCGAGCGUUCAUCGGAAUUAUUGGGCGUAAAGGGCUCGUAGGAGGUAUGUCAAGUCAAGGGUGAAAUCCCCGGGCUCAACGUAGGAUCUGCCUUUGAAACUGGCAAACUAGAGUUUGAGAGAGGAUAGUGGAAUUCCAGGUGUAGAGGUGAAAUCCGUAGAUAUCGGGAAGAACAUCAGUGGCGAAGGCGACUAUCUGGCACAUAACUGACGCUGAGGAGCGAAAGCGUGGGUAGCAAACAGGAUUAGAUACCCCAGUAGUC